This 592-nucleotide long non-coding RNA is filed under the name Bos grunniens (domestic yak). Its description in RNAcentral is "lncRNA (ENSBGRG00000013786.1)". Lineage: Eukaryota; Metazoa; Chordata; Mammalia; Artiodactyla; Bovidae. The record is from RNAcentral.
GAGCGCGCCAAGCUAGCGCGGGCGCCCCUCCCCUGUCACGCCUCGGCCUCCCCGCCGGCCCUGCGGCAGGGGGAUGCUCGCCUGACCCCACCUCCGGCUCCUCCUCAGGCACCAGGCCGGGCGGUGGCCGCCUCCAGCUCACCACCUCCGAGGCCGCACUUCCGGGCAGCGACGCCGGCGGAACUGAAGUCCGCAGAUGCCGCGACGCGGCGAACCACUCGGUCAGAGCACGUUUCCGGCGUUUCCAUGGAGACUAGUCGCCGCCGCCAGGUCGCACUUCCGGCCAAAGUCGCAGGGGGCCGGGGCAACCACGCAGUUUCGCCCUAGCGACGGGGCGGGGGCGGGGCCUGCGCUGUCAAUCUGUAGGCCACGCUCCUCGCAUGUGCUGUCGGGCGGGAGAAGAUGAGGACACCCAAGGCCUCCACCUAUGUGGGCCUGGGGGCUGCGAGUGGAAUGUGGGAACAGACGGGCACCACCUUGCCUUGGCCCAGGGAGAAGGUGAGGCACCCGGACUCCAUGCCCCUACAGGAGGCGCACCUGCCCCAGGGAGGGGUGUGAGGAGGGACUGUUCAGAGUGCUUUCAGCAGGCCAC